UACGUAGGUGGCAAGCGUUGUCCGGAUUUACUGGGCGUAAAGGAUGCGUAGGCGGAUUUUUAAGUGGGAUGUGAAAUUCCGAGGCUCAACCUCGGCGCUGCAUUCCAAACUGGAAGUCUAGAGUGCGGGAGAGGAAAGUGGAAUUCCUAGUGUAGCGGUGAAAUGCGUAGAGAUUAGGAAGAACACCAGUGGCGAAGGCGACUUUCUGGACCGUAACUGACGCUGAUGCAUGAAAGCGUGGGGAGCAAACAGG
RNAcentral lists this ribosomal RNA (253 nucleotides) under uncultured Clostridium sp. RNAcentral describes it as "partial 16S ribosomal RNA". It matches the Rfam family "Bacterial small subunit ribosomal RNA", at positions 524 to 776 of the family's 1533-position model. The record is from RNAcentral. RNAcentral also lists the same sequence under 1 other name. Lineage: Bacteria; Bacillati; Bacillota; Clostridia; Eubacteriales; Clostridiaceae.